RNAcentral lists this ribosomal RNA (370 nucleotides) under uncultured organism. RNAcentral describes it as "partial 16S ribosomal RNA". It matches the Rfam family "Bacterial small subunit ribosomal RNA", at positions 527 to 896 of the family's 1533-position model. The record is from RNAcentral.
GGAGGGGGCUAGCGUUGCUCGGAAUUACUGGGCGUAAAGGGCGCGUAGGCGGAUUAGACAGUCAGGCGUGAAAGCCCCGGGCUUAACCUGGGAACUGCGUUUGAUACUACUAGUCUAGAGUUCGGGAGAGGGUGGUGGAAUUCCCAGUGUAGAGGUGAAAUUCGUAGAUAUUGGGAAGAACACCAGUGGCGAAGGCGGCCACCUGGACCGAUACUGACGCUGAGGCGCGAAAGCGUGGGGAGCAAACAGGAUUAGAUACCCUGGGUAGUCCACGCCGUAAACGAUGUGUGCUAGACGUCGGGCAGCUCGCUGUUCGGUGUCGCAGCUAACGCACUAAGCACACCGCCUGGGGAGUACGGUCGCAAGAUUA